Suncus etruscus (white-toothed pygmy shrew) is the source of this 463-nucleotide long non-coding RNA. RefSeq lists it as uncharacterized. The record is from RefSeq and is a predicted model, not a curated record. The transcript has 3 exons. NCBI's taxonomy places the organism in Eukaryota, Metazoa, Chordata, Mammalia, Eulipotyphla, Soricidae.
GACUUCUCAGGAGACUACCAUGCCGGUUGGUUUCUAAGCGUGAGCUAUGAGUUUUACAAUCUGCAGAUUCGAAACUUCCAGCUGCCAAACUCAGAUUUGAGUCUUCUCCCCACGCAAGGGGUCAGAGCUACCGUGUACAACAGUUACCUGUACCUCCAAGGAAGCUGGAAAGUGAAAAAGGGGUUCAUAACCCUCGAGGGUACCUUUGAUGUGAAGGUGAGUGACAUUUUCAUCUCCGUUUCUCUGAACUUGGCCAAGGGCCCAUCUGGCCGGCCCAGAGCCUCCGUGUCAAGCUGCAGUAACUCCAUUGGCCACAUUAGUGUUACCAUCUCUGGACACUUAAGGUAAGUGACACCCCCAGCCCUGCUGGACCUUGUCAGUUCCUCUAGUCCAUGCUGGCCCAAGUGCAGGAUUGAAGAAGCUUCCCUAUGAGCAGUGGGGUCCUGGGUGCUAUGAGCCAGGC